UGUAUCAACAAUAGUUCGUUGCGGGACAAAGCAAUGGCCAUGCACAGUUUAAAUGAAGAUGAUCCACAUGAUCAUCAAAGUUUGGAAGGUCAAGUCCAGAAAAUGAAGAAUGAUAUCCUGGGUUUAAACUAUCCAGAAGAUAGUGAAGUGAAGGAUCCCCUGCCUCAGAUCGAGCUGAAGGCUGUGACAAGGAGAAAAGUUAAGACCAAGAGGAGGACCAGUGCCAACAGGUCCACAGUUGAACAGAGCACUGAUAGUGAUGCGGCUGAGAGAGAUUUUGUUGAUAAUCAGAAUGAUGAAGAUGAGGAAAAGGUGAAGAAGGAUCCCCUGCCUCAGAUGCAGCAGGAUGCCGUGAAAAGAAAUAAAGUCAAG
This is a long non-coding RNA of Oncorhynchus tshawytscha (Chinook salmon), 372 nucleotides long. The record is from Ensembl. NCBI's taxonomy places the organism in Eukaryota, Metazoa, Chordata, Actinopteri, Salmoniformes, Salmonidae.